GGCUCUAUAGUCAAGCGGUCUAAGACGACAGACUCUCAAUCUGUAGACAGAGGUUCGAUUCCUCUUAGAGUCA
Molecule: transfer RNA, 73 nt
Filed under: Caudoviricetes sp.
Lineage: Duplodnaviria; Heunggongvirae; Uroviricota; Caudoviricetes
Description: tRNA-Glu
Rfam family: tRNA
About the family: Transfer RNA (tRNA) molecules are approximately 80 nucleotides in length.
Source: RNAcentral